RNAcentral lists this long non-coding RNA (272 nucleotides) under Anser brachyrhynchus (Pink-footed goose). RNAcentral describes it as "lncRNA (ENSABRG00000007900.1)". The record is from RNAcentral. Lineage: Eukaryota; Metazoa; Chordata; Aves; Anseriformes; Anatidae.
CAAUGAGGGUACCUGAUACCCUGUGGAGAGAGAGACUUGUAAGUCUUUAAGCAGCAGAGAGUUAUUCCUUAAGAGAUUGGACUUGCCAAUCUGCCAGCUACCCAUAGUAAAUUUUCUGAUCAAGAAUUCAUGGGUGAAAAUAAGUUUUCUGCACAAUGGACAAGAAUGAUUUGGUGUAGGAUUUAAAAUUUCUGAAUCCCCAAACCAGUCUAACUCUGCUAUUAUUUUCUGUUAUUAGUCUUAUUUCUGUUCCCUCCCCAAGAAAGCUCUUG